This 116-nucleotide ribosomal RNA is filed under the name Periophthalmus magnuspinnatus. The record is from RNAcentral. Lineage: Eukaryota; Metazoa; Chordata; Actinopteri; Gobiiformes; Gobiidae.
UUGUAAGGCCGUACCACCUUGAGAAUGCCUGAUCUCAGCUGAUAUCAGAAGCUAAACAGAUUUGGGUCCGGUUGCUACUGGGAUGGGAGACUGUGGUGAAUGUGAAGCGCCAUAGU